This 947-nucleotide long non-coding RNA is filed under the name Ursus maritimus (polar bear). Its description in RNAcentral is "lncRNA (ENSUMAG00000014699.1)". The record is from RNAcentral. Lineage: Eukaryota; Metazoa; Chordata; Mammalia; Carnivora; Ursidae.
UUUUAAGUAGGUUCCUCACCCAGUGUGGAGCCCAACGCAGAACCUGAACUCACGACUCUGAGGUCAACACAGGACCUGAGAUCAAGAAUCAGACACUUAACCAAUUGAGGCAUCCAGGCACCCCAAGUACAAUUGAUUACUUAAGUAUCUUCAAGUAAAAAAUAGAAUCAUCUGGUCCUCUACCUACCUACCACCCAUUCAUAUUUAGUAUGUUUAUUCUGGGAUCUAAGAAUCUGUCUUCAAAAGCACCAUGGACAAUUCUGAUGCAGCUAGUCUGGAAAUAAGUGUUUGGAAACACUGCCUGCCUGAGGUUGAUGCUUUGGGGGAAUGUCAACAAUCUUGAUUUCUUCCCUGAACCUACUGCGCAACAGUAACAAUCUCUUUGAUUCGCUUAAAGGCACUUGCAGAUUUUUCCCUUUCUCAGCAACCUACAAACAGCAGUUAUAGGGUGAGGAAACCAUGGAGACGCACUGCUCCAAUCUCCUUUCAAGACACUUUGCUGCAAGAGGGUGGAUGCCAGCCAGCCAGCCUCCAGCUGCUGGGUACCUUUGGAUCUGCCCCAGCAUCAUGCCGCGGCAAAACCUCCCUGGGCCUGGACAGUGAAUGCCCAAUGUGGUGCUUCGCCAUUAGCAAAUAUUCUUUGCUUUAGGCCCUUGCUAAGAUUUUCUCUAAGUUAAACUGCAGUCUGAACCCCCAAACCUCCUUCCGCUCUCCUCUCCUUUUAUAGGCAUCAGGCUUGCCUCACGGUCUAAAGGUUCCCCCUCCUCUUCCCCUCCUCCUUGCCCCUCUAUCGUGCACAGGCAUCCCACCACUAAGUGUCUCGCACAUUGAAUUCCGUCCUGAUGUCUGCCUCUUGAAGACCCUGAGCUGAUAUAUAAGGUUAGAAGGGAAGCUACUUAUAUCAUAAUUGAGGAUUUUACAAUAUUUUUACAUCCUAAGAGUGUAAU